UACAGAGGGGGCAAGCGUUGUUCGGAAUUACUGGGCGUAAAGGGCGCGUAGGCGGCCUUCUAAGUCAGACGUGAAAUCCCCGGGCUCAACCCCGGGCCUGCAUCCGAUACUGGCGGACUCGAGGCAGACAGGGGAGAGUGGAAUUCCCGGUGUAGCGGUGAAAUGCGCAGAUAUCGGGAGGAACACCGGUGGCGAAGGCGGCUCUCGUGGGUCUGUCCUGACGCUCAGGCGCGAAAGCUAGGGGAGCAAAACAGG
RNAcentral lists this ribosomal RNA (255 nucleotides) under uncultured bacterium. RNAcentral's name for it is "partial 16S ribosomal RNA". It matches the Rfam family "Bacterial small subunit ribosomal RNA", at positions 524 to 776 of the family's 1533-position model. The record is from RNAcentral.